RNAcentral lists this ribosomal RNA (464 nucleotides) under uncultured bacterium. Its description in RNAcentral is "partial 16S ribosomal RNA". It matches the Rfam family "Bacterial small subunit ribosomal RNA", at positions 28 to 506 of the family's 1533-position model. The record is from RNAcentral.
GACGAACGCUGGCGGCGUGCUUAACACAUGCAAGUCGAACGGAAAGGCCCUGCUUGCAGGGUACUCGAGUGGCGAACGGGUGAGUAACACGUGGGUGAUCUGCCCUUCACUUCGGGAUAAGCCUGGGAAACUGGGUCUAAUACCGGAUAGGAGCCAUUUUUAGUGUGAUGGUUGGAAAGUUUUUUCGGUAUAGGAUGAGCUCGCGGCCUAUCAGCUUGUUGGUGGGAUAAUGGCCUACCAAGGCGGCGACGGGUAGCCGGCCUGAGAGGGUGGACGGCCACAUUGGGAAUGAGAUACGGCCCAGACUCCUUCGGGAGGCAGCAGUGGGGAAUAUUGCACAAUGGGCGCAAGCCUGAUGCAGCGACGCCGCGUGGGGGAUGACGGCCUUCGGGUUGUAAACUCCUUUCGCUAGGGACGAAGCUUUUUGUGACGAUACCUAGAUAAGAAGCACCGGCUAACUACGU